UCAGGAGUGAACGCUAGCGGCAGGCUUAACACAUGCAAGUACGAGGGGCGAUCGGGAGGUAGCAAUACUUGCCGGCGACCGGCGCAAGGGUGCGUAACGCGUGAGCAACAUGCCCGUAUCAGGGGGAUAAUCCAUGGAAACGUGGUCUAAUACCCCAUAGUAAUUAUGUAAGACAUCUUAUAUAAUUUAAAGCUUUGGUGGAUACGGAUUGGCUCGCGUGACAUUAGCUAGAUGGUAAGGUAACGGCUUACCAUGGCUACGAUGUCUAGGGGUUCUGAGAGGAAGGUCCCCCCACACUGGAACUGAGACACGGUCCAGACUCCUACGGGAGGCAGCAGUGAGGAAUAUUGGACAAUGGAUGGAAAUCUGAUCCAGCCAUGCCGCGUGCAAGGAAGACGGCCCUAUGGGUUGUAAACUGCUUUUGUAUGGGAGCAAUAAGGGCUACGCGUAGUCCGAUGAGAGUACCAUACGAAUAAGCACCGGCUAACUCCGUGCCAGCCGCCGC
RNAcentral lists this ribosomal RNA (505 nucleotides) under uncultured bacterium. RNAcentral describes it as "bacterial SSU rRNA". It matches the Rfam family "Bacterial small subunit ribosomal RNA", at positions 27 to 518 of the family's 1533-position model. The record is from RNAcentral.